RNAcentral lists this small RNA (110 nucleotides) under Marmota monax (woodchuck). The record is from RNAcentral. Lineage: Eukaryota; Metazoa; Chordata; Mammalia; Rodentia; Sciuridae.
GCCGGGUGUGGUGGCACCUGCCUGUAAUCUCAGCGGCUUGGGAGGCUGAGGCAGGAGGAUCGCAAGUACUUUAGCAAAUCCCUGAGCAACUUGGCAAUACCCUGUUUCAA